AAAUGCAUAGUGAAAAAUGAUAGAACAUGAGUUCGUGAAAUACAGAUUCCUACUGAGCACAACAAAUCUCUCCAUAGAAGCAAAGAAUUGGUUCUUUACAUUUCUAUAGAACAUAUUCCAUUAAAUUGUUAUCAAAUAACAUUAGUACAAAUUAAAAUCUAUCAAAUAUUGAAUAACAACAAGAAUUUAAAAGAAUUGAUUAAAUCAAUAAUUGAAUAACAGUGGAAUUUAAUAUCAAAUUUCUAAAUCUAAUACCCCAAGUCUCGUCCUACCGCCUACGUAUGUAUAGGAAAUGUAACCAUUCUGUUACUUUUGAAGAAGUACAUCUUAAUAUUA
This 336-nucleotide long non-coding RNA is filed under the name Brassica rapa (field mustard). RNAcentral describes it as "long non-coding RNA (BRAP_LNC006600)". The record is from RNAcentral. Lineage: Eukaryota; Viridiplantae; Streptophyta; Magnoliopsida; Brassicales; Brassicaceae.